CAAAGCAAGAACAAAGGAAGAAAAGAGAGAACAAGAACCCUAGGGUGAAAAUUCAAGAGAAAAUUGGUGGAUUUCAAGUAAUCAAGCAAUCAAAAGUAAAAUUUCUUGAUUUUGACUUGUGAUCUACCUUCCCCAUACAUUCUUUUGCAUUUUCCAUGGUUGAAUCACAUGAUUUCAUGAUGGGUAUCUUGCUGGCUGAACACUUAGAGAGAGGUUUUGAUGUUUGAUUUGGUUAGAUUUCAAUGUAUUUUAGUGUUUUUAGUUGAUUGGUGAUGUGUAGCAUGAAAAUCAAGCAAGAAAAAUUCAUGUUCUUCCAUCACCCAUCAUUGGCUGAAUUCUCCAUGUGGAAUAUUAAGGAUGAUUUUGAUUUUAUUUCAAGUGAUUUGGUUAGGAAUUAGUGAUUUAUGGUGUGACAAUCAAGCUUGAAAAAUUAUAGUGUUGAUGCACCCACCAUGGCCGAAUUUUCCAAGAGAAAAUGUGAGGAUGAUUUUGCCAUAUUUCAAAUUAUUUAAUUUGUGUUUGAUGAUUUGGAGUAUUGGUAGAAAAAAGGAAUUAUUUGGAGUUGAAUUGGAUGUAUUGGCCAAUUAAUCGGGUGAUAGAUCAAAUUUGGCCAAUAUCAUUUUAUUUAGGUACAUAAUUGAAUUUAUAUUGAACACUGUAUUUAGAUAGUUACCUGAGUAUUUCACAUCCCAUUUCAUGCAUUAGUAUAGAGCUUGAAUUGGUUUUAUAACAAUUUAGCACAAAUGUUGUAAAUGGCUUAUUGUGCAUUAUGUCUAGGUGGUGAGCAUUCAGGCCAAAAUAAAGAGAUAGUACCCGAGGAUCAAGAAUCAGAGUACUCGAAAUUCGACUCCUGAAAUAGUGAGUAACCUUACUAUCGUCUUAAUUAUCUUAAGUGUUUUUAUCCGAUUUUGUGAUUUUACGGAAAAUGAGUUUAAAUGGUAAAUCUUUAUGUUUUAUAAACAAAAUGUGUUUAAAUGAAAUAAUUUUAUAAAAAUGUCUUGAAAUUGAAAGAUGGUUUUGAAAAUGGAGUAAUUGGAGACUAAUUACUGUGUUAUAAAUCAUGGUUUGAAUUGAUUGGCUUAUGGCAAUAUUGGCCUGAAUGGUUGAAUUGUUAUUUGUGUUGAAAAUCUAUAAACUGUUGUUUGCCUUAAUAGGCUGGAUAAUGAUAAAAUUGCCAUGUCAUGCUGUUAAAUGUUAUUGAAUUGGUGGGUUAUUGAUUAGUCGCUGUAGUGGACGGGUUCCGUGGACCAGCUAUUAGAGGGGGCACGGUAACCCUAUUAUAUUCAUACCUCAAUAUGAGAGGCGAGAAUGGAUAACUCCUGAGGUUUAGAAUUUAGAGUUCACUUCACGCCAAACCACCACGUGAGGGUGAACUCAGCCAACGCCAAGGAACGACUAUGUUUUCAAAAUAAAAAUAUGAUUAAUGCGUACAUAACUUAUUAACAACCUUGGCGGACUCAAUUAGGAUAGCCCUCAACCAAGGUAUCCUUGAUAAUUGAGUAUGAGAAUGAUUUUGGCACGAGCCAAAGUUUUGAAAAAUUCAUAAGCCAUGUUGAUUACUCGAUUUAUAUGAAUUGAUUUUAUUUAGUUAAAAUGAGUUGAAAUGUGAUAAAUUACAGUAUGAUGAUCUAUUUAAAUCUAUCUCUAUUUACUCAACUUUAGAUAUUUUAGAUGGUAUUUGUUUACUCACUGAGAUUAUAUAAUCUCACCAUCCUCAUUUCCACCCAUUUCAAGCUCAGGAUAGUCGGUAGAUAGCUCAUUUCAUUGAGGGCUACAGUUGGACUUGCAUCCACAAAACAAAAAAAUUGUAGGUUUAUCGCUUUUGAUACUUUUGGUCGUUCGUGGGCCCACGUGUCAUUGUAAAUUAAAUUUUAUACUUUGGUUAUUUGUAUUACAGUAUGUAUGAAUUUAUUUAGCUUUUACACUACAAAAAUUAUU
Molecule: long non-coding RNA, 1938 nt
Filed under: Theobroma cacao (cacao)
Lineage: Eukaryota; Viridiplantae; Streptophyta; Magnoliopsida; Malvales; Malvaceae
Description: long non-coding RNA (TCAC_LNC003133)
Source: RNAcentral